Molecule: non-coding RNA, 254 nt
Organism: Triticum urartu
Lineage: Eukaryota; Viridiplantae; Streptophyta; Magnoliopsida; Poales; Poaceae
Source: RefSeq, a predicted model, not a curated record
UAUAUCAAAGGUGCUCACGUUGAAUUGAAUCUGGUGCCGAGGGAUGAGAAUGAAGAGGAUGAUGUUGAGAACAUCAAGUUACCCAUUGUGGUGGAGGAGAUCAACGAUUGACGUUCAUCAUGUGGAUGUUGAUCUUGCUAUUUUGGAGAUGAAUGUCAAAGUGAUCUUUCUCAUGUGAAGGCUACUUUUGCAUUUCUAUUAUGUUGGAACCUUUCAAGUCAUGAACUAUGAAUUGUCACUGCUAGCUUGGAGAU